Lolium rigidum is the source of this 2228-nucleotide long non-coding RNA. RefSeq lists it as uncharacterized. The record is from RefSeq and is a predicted model, not a curated record. Lineage: Eukaryota; Viridiplantae; Streptophyta; Magnoliopsida; Poales; Poaceae. The transcript is spliced from 4 exons.
CUUACGUUCGCAGCAAAAAGUGCAGGGACCAACCUAUUUUGUCAUUUCAAAUACCAUUUUAUUUACAUUAUGUAGUAUCGUACUCUAACCUGACAUUGAUGGUUUCAGCGUUGAAUAAGUUUGUAUUUUUUUGAACAUUCAGAUCUAUUCUGAAUGUCAUUUGGUCGCGCAACACAGUUUUGAAGGUUCUCACAACCAUUACUCAUCAGUUUCCAGGUGAAGAAGAAGCAGUUAUUCCGGAAUUUCAUGACUAUCACAUUAUUUGGUGCUUUUGGGACAAUGAUAUCCUUCUUCAUGAUAUGUUAUGGUUGAUCAAAACAAUUUCUUUAGAAGUUCCCACCAGGUAGUAUAAGAUGUUGUUAUGCCAGAGGGGUGACGCCACAUUUAUUAUUUUCUAUGAAGCGAUGACCACAUCAAAGAAGCUGCUUUGUGGGCACUUGUCUCCUUUAUAUGGGUAGUCAAUGAUGGCUAGAGUGUCGCCGCGGCUGGACGAGACCGCUUCUCCCAGAACAUUUCCACUGCAGUUGUUUGACAUGGGACUGGAGGUCUAGAAAAGCGCUUGAAAAGUUUGCCUUCGGGAUGGGUUGCCUCUGGUAUGUAUAACGCAUGGAUGCUGACCUAUUAUUAUCCCAGAGCUGUAAACCGUUCCUACUGAUCAUUUUUCUCUCAUGUUAGUCUUUUCAAGAAGAUAUGAUUCAGCUUUUUUAUCACAGAAACACUCAAAACUAAGAACAUGAGGUAUUUGUAUUGACUAGCAUAAAUCUUGAAAAGAUCAUUGUAAGUUUCACUGGCUAUGUUACUUGAUUGAAACUGAACUUCCCUUGGUCCCAAAACUUUUAUUUAGUCGUGUUCAUUGACUUCCACAUCAGAUUUGGAUUGUUCCAUGGGGACUGAUCUCAUGUGUUUCUGUUUUCUGAAGGUUCUCUUGCCAAUGCUUGCUUUUUGUGGAGCUUGAGCUUACAGCCAAUGUUGUAAUUGGAUUGGAACAAAACCGUUUAGUUCUUCUUUAAUUCAAUACCUGACUCGAUAGGGAAUGUGCUAGCAUAUUUUCUUGUCCAAACCAUUUCUCGUGCGAUCUCAUUCUUCUUUGGUAAAUCAAUGAUUUCUUGCUCUGAUUCUUGUGAUGAGGCUUAAUGUAUUGCGAAAAUUAUGAGCCCAUGCCUUUCAUAUUGGCAUACAAGCAAGAAAAAAGUAACAAAAUUCAUAUGAUCUCGAGGAUAGGUGCAGUGGCGGAGCUUGGAAGAAAUCUUGGGCAGGCCAAACUAGAGCACAAAGAUUUGCUCCAAAACUAAAUCAAUUCUUCUCUGAUUAUCCUUACUAUGGAACUUAUAUUGCAAUUUCUAAACAGCAAUAGAUAAAUUAUUCAUCCUACCAAAUUGUUAACAAAUAAUUGCUACAGCCGAUAGGGAAAUUUCUGUGGAGAGAAUCAAGCUGCAAUUAUAUUGUCGUGAAGUGAUUUGGGGAAAGAGAGUUCUCACUUGUGGCAUGCGCCUGGGAGAAUUGGAGCAACUGCCGAGCUACAUCAAAAAAAUAGGAGAAGAUAAGAGGACUAGAGGAAAUGUGGUUAUGGCUUUCUAAUAAUUACAACAACAAUGAGCACAGGCAUGUAAUUGCCUUUUUAUGGUUUUAUAAUAGUUACAACAACAAUGAGCAUGAGGUUUCCAGAAUACACAGAUGGCUGGAGAAAUGGCCCAGGAAAUCAACUUUUGUUAGACUUGCUGGUGAAGGAGAUUGGUUCCACCAAUAUAAGGUUGUAGCUUUACUCCGGAUUUACCAUUUACAUGUAUAGUUUUUAACUAUACUUCCCUGGCUAAGAAUGUCACAUAUUGUUUUUAUAUAGCUGGUGGUUCAAUGGAGGGAACCAUACAUGAAACCUUCCUUGCAAUAUACUUUUCCCUUUGCUAUGUAGAAUGACUGUGCCCUACCUAAUGUGUUUGUGUGGUGUAUUGUUCUAGAUUCAUAUUAUCUGUAUUGAUAAUGCCACUGUUUUUCCUGCCAUUGUAGCUGAAGAGUUAGCGGAUUGUUUGGACUGAAUUCUGAAUAUGUUGCGUUUGUGCCAUGUGAGAGAAAUAGCAUAUUGUUAUCAUCUUCAUAUAGUAGUAGAGUGUUCUCAGUGUUGCCCCUGGACAAAAAUGUACGUUGAGGUCAGCUAUCUUGAAUGGUACUUCUUUCGUUCCUCUGCAUGAUUUCGCUUCAUUGCUUUAAAACUUAAGCAUGUUGUUCUUUUA